GAUGAAGAACGUAGCGAAAUGCGAUAAGUAAUGUGAAUUGCAGAAUUCAGUGAAUCAACGAAUCUUUGAACGCACAUUGCGCCCGCCAGUAUUCUGGCGGGCAUGCCUGUUCGAGCGUCAUUUCAACCAUCAAGCCCCCGGCUUGUGUUGGGGACCUGCGGCUGCCGCAGGCCCUGAAAACCAGUGGCGGGCUCGCUAGUCACUCCGAGCGUAGUAAUACAUCUCGCUCAGGGCGUGCUGCGGGUUCCGGCCGUUAAAAAGCCUUAUUUACCCAAGGUUGACCUCGGAUCAGGUAGGAAGACCCGCUGAACUUAAGCAUAUCAAUAAGCGGAGGA
RNAcentral lists this unclassified non-coding RNA (335 nucleotides) under soil metagenome. RNAcentral's name for it is "partial contains 5.8S ribosomal RNA, internal transcribed spacer 2, and large subunit ribosomal RNA". The stretch from base 1 to 120 matches the Rfam family "5.8S ribosomal RNA", at positions 35 to 154 of the family's 154-position model. The record is from RNAcentral.